CGUGAGCGGAGGGUGUUGCUCGCUCAGCAAGAGGCCCGAACAGAAUUCUUAAGGAAGAAAGCCAGGCGCCAGAACUCACUGCCUGAACUGGAAGCAGCAGAUGCAGGAGUUCCAAGUUCUGGCCCCGUGGACCUGUUUAAGGAGCUGCUGGAAGAAGGGAAAGGAGUGCCCAGAGGCAAUAAAGAGCACGAGGAAGAGAAGCGACAGGAGAAGGAGAGGCAAGAGAAAGCACUAGGCAUCCUGACGUACUUGGGCCAGAGUG
Molecule: long non-coding RNA, 262 nt
Organism: Alexandromys fortis (reed vole)
Lineage: Eukaryota; Metazoa; Chordata; Mammalia; Rodentia; Cricetidae
Exons: 3
Source: RefSeq, a predicted model, not a curated record